CUUCCCAACUUCCUCCCAAGGAUGUCCAUGGCAAUGGCAAUUCAUUCUGGCUCUCUAGUGCACCCACUCAGCAGAAGGUCUCAGUGUAAGUGACAGACAGUUCUUAAUGUUGCUCUUGACCAAUGACAAGGUUUCUGGCUGCCCAGG
Long non-coding RNA from Loxodonta africana (African savanna elephant), 147 nucleotides. It matches the Rfam family "FTX transcript, XIST regulator conserved region 3". Lineage: Eukaryota; Metazoa; Chordata; Mammalia; Proboscidea; Elephantidae. The record is from Rfam.